GACGUUAACCAUUUUGUUGUGAACUUUGUUAUCGUGCGCACACGCGCUCAUUACCAAGUCAAGGAAGUUAUAAUGCGACGUCGAUGAUGGCUGACCACCAAGUGUUGAGAUUACUGGAGGAGUGUGGCGUUAGUGUCCCUAACGGACGUUUUCUGAGAUAAUGAGAUCGACAUGCAGGCAAUGAAGGUGCUGACCGAGGCAGAUAAUUUGCAACUUAUUCCCGAAAUCAUCCAUCGACACUCAACGGGAUAUCAUAAUGCCACAAUACCUGAAGGACAG
This is a long non-coding RNA of Asterias rubens (European starfish), 279 nucleotides long. RefSeq lists it as uncharacterized. Lineage: Eukaryota; Metazoa; Echinodermata; Asteroidea; Forcipulatida; Asteriidae. The transcript has 3 exons. The record is from RefSeq and is a predicted model, not a curated record.